This 124-nucleotide unclassified non-coding RNA is filed under the name Spongillidae sp. MKD09141. RNAcentral's name for it is "sequence contains ITS2, 28S rRNA gene". The record is from RNAcentral. Lineage: Eukaryota; Metazoa; Porifera; Demospongiae; Spongillida; Spongillidae.
GCGCGUCGGGAACUCGACGAUGACAAGGAGGUCGGCCUCGUCCGCGAGGACCUUCGCUUCCUGGCGAAGUCUUUUUUCGGUUUUACCAAAGGAGCGGCCUCGCCGCUUCCAUCCUGGACCUCAG